UACGGAGGAUGCGAGCGUUACCCGGAUUUAUUGGGUUUAAAGGGUGCGCAGGCGGCACGGCAAGCCGGCGGUCAAAUCGCGGGGCUCAACCCCGCCCAGCCGUCGGAACUGCCGGGCUAGAGUGGGCGAGAAGUGCGCGGAAUGCGUGGUGUAGCGGUGAAAUGCAUAGAUAUCACGCAGAACUCCGAUUGCGAAGGCAGCGCACCGGCGCCCCACUGACGCUCAGGCACGAAAGCGUGGGUAUCGAACAGG
This 252-nucleotide ribosomal RNA is filed under the name uncultured bacterium. Its description in RNAcentral is "partial 16S ribosomal RNA". It matches the Rfam family "Bacterial small subunit ribosomal RNA", at positions 524 to 776 of the family's 1533-position model. The record is from RNAcentral.